Long non-coding RNA from Gigantopelta aegis, 368 nucleotides. RefSeq lists it as uncharacterized. The transcript is spliced from 3 exons. Lineage: Eukaryota; Metazoa; Mollusca; Gastropoda; Neomphalida; Peltospiridae. The record is from RefSeq and is a predicted model, not a curated record.
UUUAGACGUAAUUAAAGAAAGAAAAAAAGAAGAAGACAACUUGUCACCAUAGAAACCGUUUUUUUCCUGCCGCAAGAUGGAAUGCCAACAAAACACGCAUGACUUGCUUCUGUUAUCAGAAGACCCAGAUCGCUUACAAAACCUCCUUGAGCAACUUACCAAAUAUUGCAAAGAUAAUGAUCUCAACACUAAUAUAAGCCUGCUGAGAAGAACGUCAACGGCGGCAUUUCCAUGACGAUUAUAACCAUACGGGUCUACAAUUUCAUAAUUUAUCAAUGAAUCUGUCAAAAUAAUCUUUAAUUUAUCUUCAGAAAAUUAAGAUAAAUCAAUAAAGAGUUUUACCGUUUCGGACAGGGGAGGGUGUGUGU